CCCUUAGAUGUUCUGGGCUGCACGCGCGCUACACUGAUGCACUCAACGAGUUUCUGACCUUGUCCGAGAGGAUUGGGUAAUCUUUUUAAAAUGCAUCGUGAUGGGGAUAGAUUAUUGCAAUUAUUAAUCUUCAACGAGGAAUGCCUAGUAGGCGCAAGUCAUCAGCUUGCGUCGAUUACGUCCCUGCCCUUUGUACACACCGCCCGUCGCUCCUACCGAUUGGGUGUGCUGGUGAAAUGUUCGGAUCGGCCGUUUGUCGCGGUUUCCGCGUCAUGUGGCUGAGAAGUUCAUUAAACCCUCCCACCUAGAGGAAGGAGAAGUCGUAACA
Molecule: ribosomal RNA, 328 nt
Filed under: uncultured eukaryote
Lineage: Eukaryota
Description: partial 18S ribosomal RNA
Rfam family: Eukaryotic small subunit ribosomal RNA
Source: RNAcentral